GGCCAGCACCACGGUCGAGUGA
Molecule: non-coding RNA, 22 nt
Filed under: Arabidopsis thaliana (thale cress)
Lineage: Eukaryota; Viridiplantae; Streptophyta; Magnoliopsida; Brassicales; Brassicaceae
Source: RNAcentral